Molecule: long non-coding RNA, 1759 nt
Filed under: Jatropha curcas
Lineage: Eukaryota; Viridiplantae; Streptophyta; Magnoliopsida; Malpighiales; Euphorbiaceae
Description: long non-coding RNA (JCUR_LNC002081)
Source: RNAcentral
CCAUAUCACAGACCGUCCUCACAAACUCACGGUGGUCUACUUCAUCCCAAUUCCACACAAACAAAGCAUAGCAUUAUCACAACACAAUUAAUCAAACAUUGAAAUCAAAUGUAGACACAUUAAUCAAUUGCACGUCGUAAUGCGAGGCACAAUUUGACAUCCGUUCUCAAAUGCAAAUAAAUGAAUAAAUAAAUAAAUAAAUAAUAUUAACAAUAAACAACAACAAUAAAAUAAAUAACAAUAAUAAACAACAAUAAUGAAAAUAAAUAAAUAAUUGAAUAAUUAAAUGAAUAAUCAUGAUAAUAAUAAAAUAAUCAGAGCACUUUUAUUUAUUAAAUAUCAAGUUAUAGAAUUAAUCUAAAUAAACUUAUUAAUUAUGUGUAGCCUAGGUUCUGCUGAAAUUUCGGCAACAUUUCCCCUAAAAAUUGGACUAUCUACCUGUUUAAAUAUCAAAAAUUUCAUUCAAUAUUAACUCAAUUCACACAGCCCAUCCGUCGGGCAAUCAAUCAAAUCAAAUACUCCAUCCUCCUUCAAUAGCAACAUCAUAGCUAACAAACCAUUUAAAUUGUCUACCCAUUAUACAUUACUUGUUUAUACAUAUAUAUGAGCGUCCUUCUAUUGCAACACAAAAAAAACACUCAAAUGAUUGAUGCCAACUUGCAGAAUUCAAAGUUUUUUUUUUGUUAGAAUCAUGGAUUAAACAUUAACUAACUAUUCCUAUCAAAAAUCAACUGUACAACUGCAAUGUACUAUACUAGACUACAACUCACCAAAAAAAUAAAUUGAAAUAAUUGCUGCCAAAUCCAAAAGUUUAGGCUUCAUGGUUAAAUUUUCAUAUUUUACUCACUAGCUAACUCACUACCCUACAAGAACUUAAUUUACAACUUCAAAUACCCAUCCCAAACAUUAUAAUUCAAAGAACCAACUAAUUAAUUGCUGCUAGCUCAAGGAAUUCAAAAUUCUCUAUUUAAUACCCAAAAUAUAUCCACCAUUCUUUAAUCAUUACUAAAAUUCUAGAUUAGGCAUUACGAACCAAUGUUUCCAUUAAAUUGCAAUUUAGUAAUCUCAUCUCUCAAGUAAUCCAAUACACAGCUUAAACAUAUAUACCAACCCCAACAAGUAUAAGAACAUCAAGGAAAAUAUAUAUCCAUUUCAUGUUAACCUAUUAAAAGAACACAACAUAUUCAAGAUGGUUGCUGCCCGCCAAAAGAAUAUAUGUUCCUUAACUCCUAAACUUAUGUGUAUAUAUAUAUAUAUAUAUAUAAGUUCAACUCAUUCCCAUCAUAAAUUAAAAUCCCAAUCACAUAAUCCAUAUCAAAAAGAGUUCAAGGCAAAGAGACUAAAAUGGCUACUGCCAUUCCAAAUUCCUCAACUUCUUCCACCUAAACCUGCAGUAAAUUUAUUAGUUGAUUUAUAGGCAUGUUGAAUUGCGAUUCACAAUCAAAUUUUUAAGAGUAACGCUUAAAGUUCCUUUCAAUGCUAACAGUAACUAACCAAGGGUUAAUUCCUAACAUUCCAAUAAUACUACAAAUCAUAAUCUUAAAUGAAAAAUUCAAGAAACAAACCCAAAAGGAUUGAAUUAUGGCUCACCUAGUCCAGAAAUAUGACAGAAAAAUUGAAUAUGCUUAUUAAAAGUGAUCGAAAACGAACCUUAAAAUCAAAACCCACUGCUGUCGGCGAUAGCUUGAUCGAAAAUGUGUGGGAAGGUGGCCGGAGGCAUGCUGGAAGCGAGAAGAGAGCGUGGUCCGGCCGGUCCUUG